ACAAGGCCAGCUCUCUUUUUCAAAGCCUCGGCAUUAACAAUUACAGUUCUUUCUUUCUCUCUUUCUUUUGAUUCUUAGCUUCAAGAUAUGAGCUUGUUGUUGAAUUAAUAAUGUUUUUUUUUCUUUCUUCUGGCUUGUAUUUUGCUAAUGCCGCAUGCCGUUGGGGUUUUGCAAAGAGAGCUUCCUUUAGUCCACUCAUGGCCGGCUAUGGGAUCAAAUUAGCUGCUGACUCAUUCAUCCACGUUCCGAGCAAUGAAUGCCUUAAGGAGUUUGCUCGGUAGAUGAGUGAAUGAUGCGGGAGCUAAAUGGGUUCUCAUGCUGCCUUUGCUUGGACUGAAGGGAGCUCCCUUGUCUUCACAAUCCUCCUGCGCUGCACUGCACUGCACUGUGCAAGUUGAUUAAUCUUAAUUUGCAAGAUUAGUGGAGCAUUGUUGAACUCCCGCUGCGUUAGUUCCUCGCACAAGUUCCAAACUCCGCUGCUCCUUCCCCGAUGCCUGCCACUACUUGAUUAAAAUAAUUGCCUUAAGGUGCAGGAAUGCGGCGAUUCUUUCUUCCCAACCUCGCUCUGGAAUUGGCUGGAUGGUUCCAUGCGUCGUCUCCACUGGGGGGCGCUGUCUCUGAGUUCCAAGUGACCAUGGCGUGCAUGGCCGCCCAGUCCUCGAUGCUGCCUCCUGCCUGCUGCCGUUGCCGGUUUCUUUUGCGCUCUGUUCUCGAUUGAUGUCUUUUAAUAAGGUUACACCAAACUGGUCGUACAAAGACAGUAUGUUGUGUGCUUGUGUUAGUUAUUUUUUUAAAUGAGACUUUUGUUGAAAUUAGUCUUUACAAGGGGUGUUGAAAUCAGUCUUUACAAGGGUUCUUUGAUACAAACAAAGCAAGGAUAUGGUGUCUCUAAUCUUGGGGUAAGGCAUGUUUCUAAUGUUUUUUAUGUUCCUCAUCUCAAGCAUACUUCGUUGCAGGUGCGAGUGAAGUGACUCUUAAAAAGAUGCUUCCUCUCAAGCUUUGCUUUGCUUCGUUGACACUAUCAAGUCACAAAUCUAGGCUUAACACUCUCCAACCAGAUCAAAAAUCACGAGAGGCAUGUUGAAUCUUGGCUGACAAGAUCAAGUUUGUGAAAGUUGUGUUUUUGGAAGGGAUCAUGCAUCAGUAAGGCAAGAAGGGCUUGCCCACAACCAGUGUUCUUGUAGUCAUCAUUCAAUGUAUGUAGUCCAGUAGAUUGAAUGA
Long non-coding RNA from Zingiber officinale, 1221 nucleotides. RefSeq lists it as uncharacterized. The transcript is spliced from 2 exons. Lineage: Eukaryota; Viridiplantae; Streptophyta; Magnoliopsida; Zingiberales; Zingiberaceae. The record is from RefSeq and is a predicted model, not a curated record.